GAUGAACGCUGGCGGCGUGCCUAAUACAUGCAAGUCGAGCGAACAGACGAGGAGCUUGCUCCUCUGACGUUAGCGGCGGACGGGUGAGUAACACGUGGAUAACCUACCUAUAAGACUGGGAUAACUUCGGGAAACCGGAGCUAAUACCGGAUAAUAUAUUGAACCGCAUGGUUCAAUAGUGAAAGACGGUUUUGCUGUCACUUAUAGAUGGAUCCGCGCCGCAUUAGCUAGUUGGUAAGGUAACGGCUUACCAAGGCAACGAUGCGUAGCCGACCUGAGAGGGUGAUCGGCCACACUGGAACUGAGACACGGUCCAGACUCCUACGAGAGGCAGCAGUAGGGAAUCUUCCGCGAUGGGCGAAAGCUUGACGGAGCAACGCCGCGUGAGUGAUGAAGGUCUUCGGAUCGUAAAACUCUGUUAUUAGGGAAGAACAAAUGUGUAAGUAACUAUGCACGUCUUGACGGGACCUAAUCAGAAAGCCACGGCUAACUACGUG
This 497-nucleotide ribosomal RNA is filed under the name uncultured bacterium. Its description in RNAcentral is "partial 16S ribosomal RNA". It matches the Rfam family "Bacterial small subunit ribosomal RNA", at positions 28 to 507 of the family's 1533-position model. The record is from RNAcentral.